GACGAACGCUGGCGGCGUGCUUAACACAUGCAAGUCGAACGGAAAGGCUCCAGCUUGCUGGCGUACUCGAGUGGCGAACGGGUGAGUAACACGUGGGUAAUCUGCCCUGCACUCUGGGAUAAGCCUGGGAAACUGGGUCUAAUACUGGAUAUGACCUUUCUCCUUAUGGGGUUUGGUGGAAAGUUUUUCGGUGUAGGGUGAGCCCGCGGCCUAUCAGCUUGUUGGUGGGGUGAUGGCCUACCAAGGCGACGACGGGUAGCCGGCCUGAGAGGGUGAUCGGCCACAUUGGGACUGAGAUACGGCCCAGACUCCUACGGGAGGCAGCAGUGGGGAAUAUUGCACAAUGGGCGGAAGCCUGAUGCAGCGACGCCGCGUGAGGGAUGACGGCCUUCGGGUUGUAAACCUCUUUCAGCAGGGACGAAGCGUAAGUGACGGUACCUGCAGAAGAAGCACCGGCUAACUAUGUG
Molecule: ribosomal RNA, 467 nt
Filed under: uncultured bacterium
Lineage: Bacteria
Description: partial 16S ribosomal RNA
Rfam family: Bacterial small subunit ribosomal RNA
Source: RNAcentral